RNAcentral lists this transfer RNA (71 nucleotides) under Ophiocreas oedipus. RNAcentral's name for it is "tRNA-Phe". RNAcentral also lists the same sequence under 1 other name. The record is from RNAcentral. Lineage: Eukaryota; Metazoa; Echinodermata; Ophiuroidea; Euryalida; Asteroschematidae.
GUUAAAGUAGUUAAAAGCUAAGAUAACGGGACCCUGAAGAGGUUUUAUUGAAGAAAAUUCUUCCUUUAACA